AACCAUUCUCACCUGCGGCUAGACCUGCGGAGGGAUCAUUAUCGAGUUUUGACUGGGGUUGUAGCUGGCCUCCCGAGGCAUGUGCACGCCCUGCUCAUCCACUCUACACCUGUGCACUUACUGUGGGCUUCAGACGUCGUGAAGCGGGCUCUUUACGGAGCUUGUAGAGCGUGUCUGUGCCUGCGUUUACCACAAACACUAUAAAGUAUUAGAAUGUGUAUUGCGAUGUAACGCAUCUAU
RNAcentral lists this unclassified non-coding RNA (240 nucleotides) under soil metagenome. Its description in RNAcentral is "partial contains 5.8S ribosomal RNA, internal transcribed spacer 2, and large subunit ribosomal RNA". The record is from RNAcentral.